CUGCUGCACACCAGAUAUAAUGAUUUUAGACCUGCUGAACAUGCACCUGCUCUUUUAUUUACUGUGGAAAAGAAUCUGUUUCAUGGAUAAGGCUCCCCUUCCAUUUUCUAUCAACAGGGAAACACAGAGUAUGCUUACACUAAGGUUUUCACAAAUGCCUAUCGUCACUGAACUCAGGCUUGCCUAAACUAAAUAAAUUUAACUUGUAACAAAAAAGACUACUGUCAAUUUAGGCCUGCAUCACACCUCCACCAUCUCCUCCAACAACAAGUACUUACAGGUGUAACAGCACACAUUUUUCCACCACCCCCACUCACAAUCACACUACCUGGUAUCUGGCAACUUUCUUUUCCCUCUCUGUGUAUACUCACACUUCUUCCCCCCUACCUGAGUGAGGAAUUGGCUACAGCUGAUUGUUUACCAGCUGUCAAUAGCCAACAGGUCUCACAUGUGUUCAUUUCAACAGGAACAUCAUACUAAGGUUUGGAACAAGAAGACAGGAGAAAGCUAAAGACUUUGGCAGUAAGUAGUCAGGUCAGGCAUGGUAUUACAAUACAGAUGAGCCAAAUAAAAAGCUUGAGACCAUAGAAAGAUAUACUUUGCCUUCCUUCUUUCCAGUUUCUUUUACCUCCCAUCUCUGUUUUCCUCACCUCCUCUGCCUUUACUUCUCUCUGCUCCUUGCUCACAGCCUCCUUCCUUUCAUCAUCAGUCCAGGCUCUAGUUUAAUCAAAAGUUAGCUAAAAACCCAUCUACGACAGCGGCUUUUUUCAGCUGGGUUAAUGAUCUGUGAUUUUAGUUAUCUGCCUGUGAUGGAAACCAAACCUGGCUUAGCAGAAGUAGAAGGAGUAAUUUGGCCAGGAGCAGGGAAGAGACAGAAGUGCAACCUCCUUUUGGCAGUUCAUGAUAUUCUGUUAAGAACAAAUUCAUUUCUCAGCCUUAGCUCAUGUUCAUCUUACCCAGCUCUGUAAAAUGACUGAGAAGUUGAAUCUUCACAUGAGGUGCUGAACCAGACCCAGCGAGGUUGAGAGAUUCACCCAGGGCCAAAAAAAACCAAUAGGUUUCUAAUUCUGGACUGUAAAUCAGAAACUACUACAUGUAACUUCUCUCCAAGACCUUUAAAACACAGUAUUUCCCCUCAUCUGCUGCUGCAAUACAGCUUCUCCUGAAAACAAAACAGGCAAAAGCCUACCCUUCCUGUCCUGCACUGCACACAUUGGUAAAGCUGCAUUUUGUCCAUCAGCUGUCCUGUAACUUUUAGUCUUGCCCAGUCAGGAUAACACAAAUCACCCUGCUCUGGCUUUGGUCCCAAACCCCACAGCUGGGUCAGGCAGACAGUAUUCACGGGGCAACUUACCACUUUUCUGACUCUGAUGCCUACUUCUGCAUCAUA
Molecule: long non-coding RNA, 1390 nt
Organism: Passer domesticus (house sparrow)
Lineage: Eukaryota; Metazoa; Chordata; Aves; Passeriformes; Passeridae
Exons: 2
Source: RefSeq, a predicted model, not a curated record